RNAcentral lists this ribosomal RNA (383 nucleotides) under uncultured bacterium. Its description in RNAcentral is "bacterial SSU rRNA". It matches the Rfam family "Bacterial small subunit ribosomal RNA", at positions 28 to 409 of the family's 1533-position model. The record is from RNAcentral.
GACGAACGCUGGCGGCGUGCUUAACACAUGCAAGUCGAGCGGUAAGGCCCUUUCGGGGGUACGACGAGCGGCGAACGGGUGAGUAACACGUGGGUGACCUGCCCUCAGCUCUGGGAUAAGCCUGGGAAACCGGGUCUAAUACUGGAUAUGACUCCAUGACGCAUGUUGUGGGGUGGAAAGCCUUGUGCGGCUGAGGAUGGGCCCGCGGCCUAUCAGCUUGUUGGUGGGGUGAGGCCUACCAAGGCGACGACGGGUAGCCGGCCUGAGAGGGCGACCGGCCACACUGGGACUGAGACACGGGCCCAGACUCCUACGGGGAGGCAGCAGUGGGGGAAUCUUGCGCAAUGGGCGAAAGCCUGACGCAGCGACGCCGCGUGAGGGAU